GACGAACGCUGGCGGCGUGCUUAACACAUGCAAGUCGAACGGAAAGGCCCUGCUUUUGUGGGGUGCUCGAGUGGCGAACGGGUGAGUAACACGUGAGUAACCUGCCCUUGACUUUGGGAUAACUUCAGGAAACUGGGGCUAAUACCGGAUAGGAGCUCCUGCUGCAUGGUGGGGGUUGGAAAGUUUCGGCGGUUGGGGAUGGACUCGCGGCUUAUCAGCUUGUUGGUGGGGUAGUGGCUUACCAAGGCUUUGACGGGUAGCCGGCCUGAGAGGGUGACCGGCGACAUUGGGACUGAGAUACGGACCAGACUGCUACGGGAGGCAGUAGUGGGGAAUAUUGCACAAUGGGCGGAAGCCUGAUGCAGCAACGCCGCGUGCGGGAUGACGGCCUUCGGGUUGUAAACCGAUUUGGCAUGUGACGAAGCGUGAGUGACGGUAAUGGGUAAAGAAGCAACGGCUAACUACGUG
Molecule: ribosomal RNA, 468 nt
Filed under: uncultured bacterium
Lineage: Bacteria
Description: partial 16S ribosomal RNA
Rfam family: Bacterial small subunit ribosomal RNA
Source: RNAcentral